This 84-nucleotide transfer RNA is filed under the name Clostridia bacterium. RNAcentral's name for it is "tRNA-Leu". It matches the Rfam family "tRNA". From Rfam's summary of the family: Transfer RNA (tRNA) molecules are approximately 80 nucleotides in length. Their secondary structure includes four short double-helical elements and three loops (D, anti-codon, and T loops). Lineage: Bacteria; Bacillati; Bacillota; Clostridia. The record is from RNAcentral.
GCGGGUGUGGCGGAACUGGCAGACGCGCUAGACUUAGGAUCUAGUGUCACAGACGUGGGGGUUCAAGUCCUCUCACCCGCACCA